This 107-nucleotide small nuclear RNA is filed under the name Carlito syrichta (Philippine tarsier). Lineage: Eukaryota; Metazoa; Chordata; Mammalia; Primates; Tarsiidae. The record is from RNAcentral.
GUGCUUACUUCAACAGCACAUAUACUAAAAUUGGAAUGAUAAAGAGAAGAUUAUCAUGGUCCCUAUGCAAGGAUGACAUGCAAACUCAUAAAGUGUUCCAUAUUUUC